UUUCUCUCCAACAUUCAUACAAGCACAAACCUAGGCCACCACUACCAAAAAUGUCUUACGCCGUGGUGGCGCCCUGUUUCCCCACUGUGAGGUCGGCGGCGAACUGACCAAGGCAGAGAGCAAACAUGAAGAAGUUGGCUAACAGGACACGAAACGAAACAGGAGCUGCGUUAGAGCAGCAGUGGGGUUCUGUGGAGAGAUGAAGGAGGUUCGGUGGCAGUGCGUAGAACCGCCUACACUCUACCAUUGCUAAUCCUCUCGAUUUCAAACUUCUUGCAUCAGAGGUUCUACAAGUCACCUAACUCAGUCAUGAACAAGGCAAGGACUCAAAUUAGGAACAAGCAGCGAAUUUUGUCCCAGAUCUAUUCUGCCACUUUUGGAAGGCAAAAAUGUUAUUGGAGCUGCAAGGUCAGGUUCUGAAAAGACCCUUGCUUUUCUGAUACCUGCUGUGGAGUUGUUACAUCAAAUCUGAAUGGGGGUAAUUGUCAACUGCCCAACUAGGGAACUUGCCAUACAGACACAUGCAAUGACAAAGGACCUUCUCAAUCAUCAUUCACAGACUCUUGGCAUGGUUAUUGGUGGUGCAGCCCACAGGGGAGAAGCUGAGUGUAUUGUGAAAGGAGUAAACCUGUUAGUAGCAACCCCUGGCGGACUUC
This is a non-coding RNA of Camellia sinensis, 656 nucleotides long. NCBI's taxonomy places the organism in Eukaryota, Viridiplantae, Streptophyta, Magnoliopsida, Ericales, Theaceae. The record is from RefSeq and is a predicted model, not a curated record.